UUAGGCUGGAUGUCUGACAGAAGCAAUCCAGCUCAUCUUUUCCUCAGCUCCCGAAGCCAAAACCCUCAUUCCCGUCACCGCUGGGUUCUUCUCCCUCCUCUUUCACCCGCCUCCUCUAUUUUCCGCUACCAAAUCCUACCCGCCUCCUCUAUUUUCCGCUACCAAAUCCUACCCGCCUCCUCUUCCCGCUACCAAAACUGACUUGCCGCCUCCUCUUCCCGCUGAGUUCUUGUCGCCCUCCACUUUUACCCCGCCCACAAAACCCCACGAUCAUAUCUCUGUGAUCUGUUCGAAAACAAAGAGCAAGGAUGAUGAGGAAGUGCUCGCAUUGUGGUAACAAUGGCCACAACUUGCGAACUUGCCCCAAUCGAUGAUGACGAGGAAGUCUCUCUUUGUGUUGUCUACAAGUUUUUGUCUUUAGAGAGAGGAAAGAGAUGGAGCACGAAUUUCAGGUUUAUGUAUCCAUUUAUUAUGAUACUUGAUGCAAAUAUGGAUGGAUAUGAUACUUUAUAGCAACCUACAUUGCACGCUGUGGAGCUUGGUUGUUUCAGUUUAAGUUUGUCACUGAGCUUGGUUACUUUGUGAGCUUUUGAGCUUACUUUGGUAACUUGUGAGUUAGAUUGAGUAGGACUGUAGAUGCUACAGGUGAAUAAAUUCUAUACUUCAGGCGUUUUCAUGAACUGUAAGUUUGACGUUUAUGGACUCUAACAAAUUUUGAUAUUUUGGCAUUUAUUUCAAAUUUUUUUGAGAUCUUUUAGGAUUGAAAAUUCGUAAUGAUCCUUAUUAUAGUAACUUAGUUGCAGAAGCAUACUCCUUUUUAUCCGAGUUGAAGAUAUUACAUGUGACUCAGUUGAGUUUAAGUUUA
Molecule: long non-coding RNA, 865 nt
Organism: Asparagus officinalis (garden asparagus)
Lineage: Eukaryota; Viridiplantae; Streptophyta; Magnoliopsida; Asparagales; Asparagaceae
Exons: 2
Source: RefSeq, a predicted model, not a curated record